CCCUUAGAUGUUCUGGGCCGCACGCGCGCUACACUGAUGCAUUCAACAAGCCUAGCCUUGACCGAGAGGUCCGGGUAAUCUUUGAAACUGCAUCGUGAUGGGGCUAGAUUAUUGCAAUUAUUAAUCUUCAACGAGGAAUGCCUAGUAAGCGUGAUUCAUCAAAUCGCGUUGAUUACGUCCCUGCCCUUUGUACACACCGCCCGUCGCUCCUACCGAUUGAAUGUGUUGGUGAGGAGCUCGGAUCGGCAGCAGUUGGUGGUUCGCCACCGGCUAUCGCUGAGAAGUCCUCCAAACCGCCCCAUUUAGAGGAAGGAGAAGUCGUAACA
RNAcentral lists this ribosomal RNA (326 nucleotides) under uncultured eukaryote. RNAcentral describes it as "partial 18S ribosomal RNA". It matches the Rfam family "Eukaryotic small subunit ribosomal RNA", at positions 1470 to 1796 of the family's 1831-position model. The record is from RNAcentral.